CCAAUAGCGUAUAUUAAAGUUGUUGCAGUUAAAAAGCUCGUAGUUGAAUUUCGAGACCGGUCUACUGGUCGUGCUUUUGUACGUACUGGUAUAAUCGGUUUCUCUCUUCUGACGAAAUAUAAUGCCAUUAAUUUGGUGUUUUAGGGAAUCAGGACUGUUACUUUGAAAAAAUUAGAGUGUUUAAAGCAGGCUCACGCUUG
Molecule: ribosomal RNA, 200 nt
Filed under: uncultured Glomus
Lineage: Eukaryota; Fungi; Glomeromycota; Glomeromycetes; Glomerales; Glomeraceae
Description: partial small subunit ribosomal RNA
Rfam family: Eukaryotic small subunit ribosomal RNA
Source: RNAcentral